AUUGAACGCUGGCGGCAGGCCUAACACAUGCAAGUCGAACGGUAACAGAGAGUAGCUUGCUACUUUGCUGACGAGUGGCGGACGGGUGAGUAAUGUCUGGGGAUCUGCCUGAUGGAGGGGGAUAACUACUGGAAACGGUAGCUAAUACCGCAUAAUGUCGCAAGACCAAAGCGGGGGACUUUCGGGCCUCGCACCAUCAGAUGAACCCAGAUGGGAUUAGCUAGUAGGUAGGGUAAUGGCUUACCUAGGCGACGAUCCCUAGCUGGUCUGAGAGGAUGACCAGCCACACUGGAACUGAGACACGGUCCAGACUCCUACGGGAGGCAGCAGUGGGGAAUAUUGCACAAUGGGCGCAAGCCUGAUGCAGCCAUGCCGCGUGUAUGAAGAAGGCCUUCGGGUUGUAAAGUACUUUCAGUCAGGAGGAAGGGCGUGAAAUUAAUACUUUCAUGCAUUGACGUUACUGACAGAAGAAGCACCGGCUAACUCCGUGCCAGCCGCCGCUGUAA
RNAcentral lists this ribosomal RNA (506 nucleotides) under uncultured bacterium. RNAcentral describes it as "partial 16S ribosomal RNA". It matches the Rfam family "Bacterial small subunit ribosomal RNA", at positions 30 to 523 of the family's 1533-position model. The record is from RNAcentral.